Armigeres subalbatus is the source of this 800-nucleotide long non-coding RNA. RefSeq lists it as uncharacterized. Lineage: Eukaryota; Metazoa; Arthropoda; Insecta; Diptera; Culicidae. The record is from RefSeq and is a predicted model, not a curated record. The transcript has 3 exons.
AAAGAGUGAAAAACUACUUACGUGCAUACCAACAAGAACAAAUAACUGAUAAUCCGCUGAGCCCGCGUUUGCAAACGACAUGCAAUAAAAUUUAAAAAUCUUUGUGAUUUAUGGUAAUAAAACACCAAAAACACAGAGGAAUACAUAAAAUUAGGAAUAUGUAAUGGAAUCGCACAUCAAGAUCCUGAUUACCAGAAUCUGAUCCGCUAGCGCCAGCCCCAACAGCUGCUCCCGAAAAGAAACCAGAGCCCUACAUGCAGUAAUCAAAUGGAUAAGAUUACGACCAAGCGUACGAGAAUGUCGUCCAUAGUAAUUGACGGCCGGGAAAUCAAGCUUUUUAUCGGCGUUCAUCUGACGGCAGUUCCGUUACAGCAGCCGCUGAAAGGAGACUCAAGAAGCCAAUGUGAAAUGAGGACGCUGAUGACAACAAUUCAGCAUUGGUUGAUCUCGACUUUUACGCUGUAUAAUAUUGUUUUCGAGAUUGUUUCUAAGUGAAUAUGUUGUUGUAUGUAAAUAGAUCUUAAUGUCAGGAAAUAAAACUUCAUGCCUCUUAAAUUAUAACAAUGUCUUUUUCAAAUCCAUAUUAUUUUUUCUAUACGAAUUAUUUAGAAUAGAAAAGAGUAAGUUUUACCCACUGUGCUCGAAUUUUGUUUACGAUAAUGGGUAAAAAUCACACAUGAACUUGACGUACAGGUCUUUUACCCAUUAAUGAGUAAACGCUGUUUACUCUUUUAAUGAGUUGAACUAUUUAACUUCAUAAUGGGUACAUUUUUACCCAUUAAAGAGUACUUUGGUGGCAC